This 437-nucleotide ribosomal RNA is filed under the name uncultured bacterium. Its description in RNAcentral is "bacterial SSU rRNA". It matches the Rfam family "Bacterial small subunit ribosomal RNA", at positions 340 to 770 of the family's 1533-position model. The record is from RNAcentral.
UACGGGAGGCAGCAGUGGGGAAUAUUGCACAAUGGGCGCAAGCCUGAUGCAGCCAUGCCGCGUGUAUGAAGAAGGCCUUCGGGUUGUAAAGUACUUUCAGUCGUGAGGAAGGUGUUAAGGUUAAUAACCUUAGCAAUUGACGUUAGCGACAGAAGAAGCACCGGCUAACUCCGUGCCAGCAGCCGCGGUAAUACGGAGGGUGCGAGCGUUAAUCGGAAUUACUGGGCGUAAAGGGCACGCAGGCGGUUAAUUAAGUUGGAUGUGAAAUCCCCGGGCUUAACCUGGGAAUGGCAUUCAAGACUGGUUAGCUAGAGUCUUGUAGAGGGGGUUAGAAUUCCAUGUGUAGCGGUGAAAUGCGUAGAGAUGUGGAGGAAUACCGGUGGCGAAGGCGGCCCCUGGACAAAGACUGACGCUCAUGUGCGAAAGCGUGGGGAGCA